Long non-coding RNA from Ictalurus punctatus (channel catfish), 841 nucleotides. The record is from Ensembl. Lineage: Eukaryota; Metazoa; Chordata; Actinopteri; Siluriformes; Ictaluridae.
CCAUAACGAAGAUCAACUGUAUGUCGAUACGUGAAAUUCUGGAGGGACGUCGGACGGCGUGGCGCGGGGACGUAAUGACGUGUGCCGUUAAUCCAUCUAUGUUCUAUAACAUGUACAACGAGUACAUGAAAGGAGUAUUCUAAAAGCGACUCAUGUAAACACCUCAAUCAGAAUACUGUCUUAUUCAGAAUAAGGUCAGUAAUUAGAUUACUGCUGUCCAUGUAAAUGUAGUCAUUGAGAACAAACAAGUGCCUUCUGUGGAAGUGGAGACUUCGCUGUAGUUUCGCCCUUAUUUCGCUGUUUAGUGCUGAGUGCCUGGGUCUUUAUCUCGAGAUGGCGUGUACGUGGACAGCUCCCUACUGAACGGACUGAGUGAAUAUUACACUGCCUUAACCCUCUUGGGCAUGGAGUUCACCAGAGCUUCACGGGUUGCCACUGGAGUCCUCUUCCACUCCUCCAUGACGACAUCACGGAGCUGGUGGAUGUCAGAGACCUUGUGCUGCUCCACCUUCCGUUUGAGGAUGCCCCACAGAUGCUCAAUAGGGUUUCGGUCUGGAGACAUGCUUGGCCAGUGCAUCACCUUCACCCUCAGCUUCUUUAGCAAGGCAGUGGUCGUCUUGGAGGUGUGUUUGGGGUCGUUAUCAUGCUGGAAUACUGCAUACUGAUCAUGCUCUGCUUCAGUAUGUCACAGUACAUGUUGGCAUUCAUGGUUCCCUCAGUGAACUGUAGCUCCCCAGUGCCGGCAGCACUCAUGCAGCCCCAGACCAUGACACUCCCACCACCAUGCCUGACUGUAGGCAAGACACACUUGUCUUUGUACUCCUCACCUGGUUGCUGCCAC